RNAcentral lists this small nucleolar RNA (62 nucleotides) under Sciurus carolinensis (gray squirrel). Its description in RNAcentral is "Small nucleolar RNA SNORD44". It matches the Rfam family "Small nucleolar RNA SNORD44". Rfam says of the family: U44 belongs to the C/D class of snoRNA which contain the C (UGAUGA) and D (CUGA) box motifs. Most of the members of the box C/D family function in directing site-specific 2'-O-methylation of substrate RNAs. Lineage: Eukaryota; Metazoa; Chordata; Mammalia; Rodentia; Sciuridae. RNAcentral also lists the same sequence under 1 other name. The record is from Rfam by way of RNAcentral.
CCUGGAUGAUGAUAAGCAGAUGACUGACUGAAUGUGAAGUUUAUAAUUAGCUCUAGCUGAUU